Molecule: RNA transcript, 4432 nt
Organism: Lytechinus pictus (painted urchin)
Lineage: Eukaryota; Metazoa; Echinodermata; Echinoidea; Temnopleuroida; Toxopneustidae
Gene name: T-complex protein 1 subunit delta-like
Exons: 14
Source: RefSeq, a predicted model, not a curated record
GGCCCAUUGCGAAGGUACAGGACCUAUGGACAUGAUUUCAGUGGAGAAGACCUCACUUUGUAGCUGAAUAAAAUCGUUAAAUAUCCGUAGCAACCUGGUGUAUUUUACUUACAGAUUAUCAUUUCUGGAUACCUAAAUUAAUUAACAUGCCAUCUGGUAAGGCACCAACUCAUGGGCCGAGUCAAUCGGCUUAUGUUGAUCGUGAAAAACCGGCUGAGAUUAGACGAAGUAACAUCACUGCUGCGAAAGCUGUUGCAGAUGCUGUCCGUACAAGUUUGGGCCCAAGGGGCAUGGAUAAGAUGAUUCAAGAUGCCAGGGGAGACGUAACAAUUACCAAUGAUGGUGCCACCAUCUUGAAGCAGAUGCAAGUCCUUCAUCCAGCAGCCAAAAUGCUGGUAGAGCUUUCAAAGGCUCAAGAUGUAGAGGCUGGUGAUGGAACAACGUCUGUUGUGGUAAUUGCUGGGAGCCUUUUGGAGGCAACUGCAAGGUUAUUGGACAAAGGUAUUCAUCCAACCAUUAUAUCCGAGUCCUUCCAAAGUGCAGCAGACAAAGCCUGCGAGAUCCUGGCUGAUAUGUCUGUCCCUGUGAACCUCAACGAGAGAGAGGCUCUUCUUCAAAGCGCCACUACAUCACUCAACUCUAAGGUUGUAUCCCAGUUCUCAAAUCUCCUUGCUCCUAUUGCAGUUGAUGCAAUCUUACAAGUCAUAGACCCAUCAACAGCCACCAAUGUUGACCUAACUGACAUCAAAUGUAUCCAGAAAUUAGGGGGUACCAUUGAAGAUACUGAAUUAGUGAGAGGACUUGUUUUCAGUCAAAAGGCAGCAGGCUCUUCUGGCCCACACAAAGUAGAAAAGGCCAAAAUUGGUCUUAUCCAGUUCUGCCUUUCAGCUCCCAAGACAGAUAUGGACAACCAGGUGGUGGUCUCAGAUUAUACCCAGAUGGAUCGUGUGCUAAGAGAGGAAAGGGCUUACAUCCUCAACCUAGUUAAACAGAUCAAGAAGGCUGGCUGUAAUGUACUCCUUAUUCAAAAGUCAAUUCUCAGGGAUGGCUUGAGUGAUCUAGCCCUUCACUUCCUACAGAAGAUGAAGAUUAUGGUGAUAAAGGAUGUGGAGAGGGAAGAUGUAGAGUUUGUAUGCAAGGCCAUUGGGUGCAAACCCAUUGCAAGCAUUGACCACUUCACACCUGAAUACCUGGCAUCAGCUGACCUGGUGGAGGAAGUCGUUACAGGUACCAGCAAGGUUGUCAAGAUCACCGGUGCAGCUAAUCCUGGUAAGACUAUGACUGUCCUGGUUAGGGGAUCCAACAAGCUUGUCCUAGAAGAGGCAGAACGCUCUAUCCAUGAUGCUCUCUGUGUCAUCAGGUGUCUUGUAAAAAAAAGGGCUCUGAUAGCUGGCGGAGGGGCCCCCGAGAUCGAGAUCUCUCACCGCAUGACGGAGUACAGCAACAGCCUGAGUGGCAUGGAGGCUUAUUGCUUCCGAGCCUUCGCCGAGGCCAUGGAGGUCAUCCCGUCUACGCUGGCUGAGAAUGCCGGGCUGAAUCCCAUCAGUGUCGUGACCGAGCUGAGGAACAGGCAUGCCCAGGGAGAAAAGACUGCUGGUAUCAAUGUCAGAAAGGGUGCCAUCACUAAUAUCCUUGAGGAGAAUGUAAUCCAGCCUCUGCUUGUAUCAACCAGUGCAAUCCAGCUGGCUUCAGAGACAGUGAGGAGUAUCAUGAAGAUUGAUGACAUUGUAAGUAUAAAAAGCCUGAACUGAAAAGUCUCCAGUUUUCCUUGUUCUAAAAUAGGAAUUUCAUAUUCUUCGGUGACAUGUAUUGAAACAUGAUAACACAAAUUCUUAGACAAAUCUGUUUUAAUGCAUCUGCUUACCGUGGGAGGUUACUGGAGGCAUUAUGCGUUUUUGGUCGUCCAGCCAUCCAUAAACUAAAGAACCAUUUGAUUGGUCAAUUUCAAACUAUACAUAUAGGAGUGACAAUGAUCUGAUCAGUUUUGAGGGUAACAAGAUGAGAGGUCAUUAUGUACCUGACAGUUUAGGGUUGAACUUCAGAAAUGGCUAUGUAUGAAUAUGGAAGUGACAAUGAUCCGAGUAGAUGUUGGGGUCAUGAGAUUAAAGGUCACAGAGGUCAUUGCAUAUAUUGAAAUAUCUUGUUCUAACGAUAACUGAAGAACCAUUUGAAGGAUCGACUUCAAACUCAGUUCAUAUAUGCAUAUAGGGUGGACAAUGAUCUGAAAAUGAUUAACCCUUAUCUAUCAAAUUGACCCCCCCCCCCAUCGACAAAAUUUGUCACUACGCCAUGGCGCAAUUUUUUUUACUGCACUGCUCGCUGACUUUUUACCUUAAAGCCUUGCGCAUCUUUUGAGACCAAAUUUGCGACCCCCCGGGUACGCGGUUCCGAAAUUAUGCAACAUUUGUUAAGCGCAUGUCAGACCCAAAAUUGCUCAAAAACGUGAUUCUGUGUACAAAGUCAAUGCAAAUUUUGUUUUUCAACCUAAAAAUUGAUUUAUUUUACGCUAUUUAUGAUUGCAAAAAGGUCCCCACCAAAAUGAUCCACUAAACCAUUGCGUCUAUGAAUGUGGAAGAGCCGUGGUGUAGUGGUUCUUGAAAACAGAGGGUCGUGUGUUCGAUUCCCACUGCGAAUGGGUACCCGGUAGGAUGCGAAAGCCUAUGUAGUAUUCCUAGCAAUUGAGUCUUGGAACUCUUGUUGGAAUGCUCCCCAGGGAGUGGAGAAGGUGCAUACAUUGUAUGCGGGCAUGCAAGGUUCCGAUGACCGGAGUAAUAAUAUGCUGUAAAGCACUUUAGGCCAUUAUUAUUAUUAUUGAUGUGCAUAGUCAACUUAGAAGUGUGUAACCCCAAGUCAUUGAAUUGUCUCUUUCUCUUUCUGUCUUUUCAUCAGGUCAAUGCUCGAUAACCUCUGGCAGUACAGUAGUUUGUGAACCAGUAUCUAUGUGAAUGUUGCUGAGUGGAGUCUUGUUACAGCACUGUUUAAAUAAAUAUAUACUUAACACGUUUAUGCUCCAUGUUUUGAGCAAACUCGGAAUCCCUUUCCAUCAAAUAGAUGACUGAUCCAGCGGACCAUUUCAUGAAAAAAUAGGGUCUGUGCAGUGACUUCACUGACUUGUUAUAAGCUACCGAAAUCCUUGCAUCUGAUUGGCUCAGAGCAAAUUUGUUGGUGAAAAUCUCUGAUUGUUUGUUUCAUGAAAUGCUCCCCUAGGGUUCAUGAACCACGCCAUAAACCGAGGAGAUUUAGAACAGUAAAAUAUGUUUUGAAGGAACAAACGAGUGAAUCUACUGACAUUCCUUUUGUGAAAGCAUCAUGGUCUUAUCAUCUGAGAGCAAUAUAAGCUUGAGUAGAAAUCAUUUUGAUGAAAGAGUUAGGUGUUAGAACAAACAUUUCUUGCAUGACACAAGAAAAAAGAAUGGCAAGAUUCAAACAGGCACAUUAACUCUGAAAAUAUUGGUAAUUGAAUGUGGAAUUGCCCAUCUCAUAUGAGUGUCCUACUGGUAGUGGGUCUAAGUGGUCAGCAUCAUUAAAAAUCUUAAAUAUUGGAAAGUGUUAAUUCAAAUUUGGAAUAAUUUGAAUAAUUAUUGAACCUCAAGGAAUGUUGGCAGGAGACUGCAUUCUUUGCUCCCUUGAAAUAUUUGAAGAAUUUGAUGUUCUGCAAAUAUGAAAUUGCGAUUAUUGCAGACCACUCUUUUCUUUCACCUGUACUACACUUUAAAAUGAAAGCUCUAUGACAAUGUUAUUGUGUUCCAGUCACUGAACACCCAAGUGAAUGGUUAGUUUUUUGUAAGAUUUUUUUCAGGAGGAACACUGGAUACAAUAGAUAAAAGUCAAGUCUGCACAAGUAGACCUUUUAGUUGUUAAAGCAAUUUUUCAGACCAGGUUAUGCAAAGCAUUUACAUGUUGUUUAUUUCCUCAGAGUCAAAUUUCGCCCCAGUCAAACAGAUUUCUUUGAUGACAAGGGCAGACUCGCCUGUUUAUGAUAAAAAGGAUGCAUUAAGUGAGCAAAAAGUUGAAAUUCCAAAGAGUUUCUGUUUUAAAAUCUCCUAAAUGAAACUAUCAAACUACCUUGAAAUGACAGUCUUAAAGCAUUAUACACUUUGCUUGACUUGUCAAGUGAAAGCUUCUUAAAAUGAGCAAGCUCAGGAGAAAUCUCGGAAUGCUCAUCUCUACUACCCUUUUUAAAGCAUUUUGUUGACACAAACUUUCCCAGUACACAAGAUCUUGAAUGUAAAGGCCACGUAUGAGUGGUUGAUUGUAAACUAUUUCCCUUUUGUAAUUUAAUAUUAUAUCUUAUGCAUGAUGUGCCGUUUGUUUUGUACUAUUAUUUUGAUAUAAAUAUUCAUGUAUUGUGAAUGCCAUAAAUAAUCUCUAUGCGAGAGGUAGAAUGCAUUGCAGUUCAAUAAAAGCUGAAAGUGUCAGCACUGGAAAAAUA